UUUAGUGGCAUAAGCUUUAAUAAAAGGUUUUAUAUACUCUUUAAUCUCCUUUUAAAUAAUAAAAUAUUCGUAUAUUAGAAGUAUUGUAUAUAGAACAAUUUAAUCAAUUAAUUUUUAGCAUUAUAAGAGGUAUUAUCCAGCGAGGAAUCGUUUUUCAGUUUAUUGACUGACUUUAUUUUUUAACUUAAUCCGUUUGAUUCAAUCACAUUUCUUAAAAGUUUUAGAUCUUCCAACUUAUUGACAUUCAAAAGUUUUACCCACUUUUCAUUUUUCAUUUGUUCACUCCUUUGUGCGGAUUUUUAAUCGUGUCGCCAGUUCCUUCGACUGUGAAUGAUUUCACUUAACGCUCGCUUUCGGGAUAGGAAAACAAUGUUAUCGCUUAAUACUUAUAUUUUCCUGUCAUUUAAUUUCUUUUCCACUUAGUUCUUUCCGCUUUCUCCUUCGAUACUCGCUGACACGCAUUUGUUUGCCUAAAGUGCACUUUUUAACUAACUUGUCUAACGCAACUAAUGAAAGGAUUUGUUAUUGGUUUGGUCUGGUAAGAGCGCAAAAAGGAACAGCAGCCACACCAACUGCCACCUGGUAACUUUGCCCAGGGAAUUAUACAUAAACAUUGCCCAAUCCGGACAAGAAGAGCACACAAUAUAGACGACACACACGAUUCCCAAAAAAUGAAAAAAGAAAUAUGCUCGCAACUUGAAAAAGUAAAUAAAUAUUUGAACAACUUCUUAUGGCCAACUAUUUGUUUGGCAGGCGAAAAGAACAAGUUUUGGGCCAGGCAAAAGCAAAGAGCUCGGCCAGGGCCUGGCAAUCGACAAGUUUUCCUCAUGGGUGGCUCUAAGUUCGGCAGGAAUUGGAUUGGCAAAUUGUUCAGCACAUCAUUUUCGAGGCAAUUUAACGAAAUCAAAUUUAAGAGAAAUUCUUUCAGCCAGAAUGUGUAAGAGCUAAAUAAAUAAAUGUAGCUUUUAA
Molecule: long non-coding RNA, 969 nt
Organism: Drosophila yakuba
Lineage: Eukaryota; Metazoa; Arthropoda; Insecta; Diptera; Drosophilidae
Exons: 3
Source: RefSeq, a predicted model, not a curated record